AACGAACGCUGGCGGCAUGCCUAACACAUGCAAGUCGAACGAGACCUUCGGGUCUAGUGGCGCACGGGUGCGUAACGCGUGGGAACCUGCCCUUAGGUUCGGAAUAACUCCCCGAAAGGGGUGCUAAUACCGGAUAAUGUCUUCGGACCAAAGAUUUAUCGCCUUUGGAUGGGCCCGCGUUGGAUUCGCUAGUUGGUAGGGUAAAAGCCUACCAAGGCGACGAUCCAUAGCUGGUCUGAGAGGAUGAUCAGCCACACUGGGAGUGAGACACGGCCCAGACUCCUACGGGAGGCAGCAGUGGGGAAUAUUGGACAAUGGGCGAAAGCAUGAUCCAGCAAUGCCGCGUGAGUGAUGAAGGCCUUAGGGUUGUAAAGCUCUUUUACCCGGGAUGAUAAUGACAGUACCGGGAGAAUAAGCUCCGGCUAACUCCGUG
Molecule: ribosomal RNA, 433 nt
Filed under: uncultured bacterium
Lineage: Bacteria
Description: partial 16S ribosomal RNA
Rfam family: Bacterial small subunit ribosomal RNA
Source: RNAcentral